This 253-nucleotide ribosomal RNA is filed under the name uncultured bacterium. RNAcentral's name for it is "partial 16S ribosomal RNA". It matches the Rfam family "Bacterial small subunit ribosomal RNA", at positions 524 to 776 of the family's 1533-position model. The record is from RNAcentral.
UACAGAGGUGGCAAGCGUUGUUCGGAAUUACUGGGCGUAAAGGGCGCGUAGGCGGCGCGAGGAGUCGGGGGUGAAAGUCCGGGGCUCAACCCCGGAUCGGCCUUCGAUACUCUCGCGCUGGAGCACAGUAGAGGCGGGUGGAAUUCCGGGUGUAGCGGUGGAAUGCGUAGAGAUCCGGAGGAACACCAGAGGCGAAGGCGGCAUUCUGGACGACAUCAGACGCUGAGACGCGACAGCACGGGGAGCGAACGGG